CAUAAGGCUGGCCAAAUAGAUGGGAGUUAACUUGUAAAGAUCCCUAAAUGUCCAAUAAAAGAGUAUAUAUAUUUACCCUGGAGGCCAUAAAGAGACACUGAAGAUUUUUUAGUCAAGGAAUGACAUGGUCAGAUUGGUAUUUGGAGAAUACCAAAUUCAUAGUUGUAUCAAAGACAGAUUAGAAAGAACUGGGAAACAGGAUGACUAAUUAGGAAACUGCUGCAAGGCAAGAGGUGUCCUCAACUAUGGUGGAGGUUAUAUGAAUGAAAUGUGGAGUCCCAUGCAAGAGUCAAUGAUAUGGAAGCAACAUGACAGGACUGGGACUAGCUUGUCCUUCAGAUCCUUCUAGCUCUUUGGAGGAUCUAUGAGCCUCUAUAAGUUUAUGAGCCUGCUACCAUUAAUACAAAAAGCAGGACUUGUAAUUUCAAUUAAUCAUCGUGUGUCACUUUAAGAAUCAUUCACUUAGACAUGGACCUACUGAAUUGUUCUUUGAACACAAUAAAGUGAAUCUGGGACUAGGAUCAAGACUUACAAGGUAAGAGUCAACUAAUAAACAGAAAAUUGGCAACAACAGUUGCUAUUCACUACAUAGGCUUAUUUUGCUAUUAUUUCCCCUUAGGCUCCAUUGCAAAACAAAGCCAGAUUUGUAUCUGCAGAACAUUCUUAUGGUAACUGGAAGAAAUUAUCACACCAACAAAACUGUCGCAAACAUCUACUGCAGUGAUGGCAGCAGUCCUUCUCCCAUCAAAGAGCCUCUGUCAUUUAAAGAUUCUUGUAAAAAAGGAAAAAAAAAUGUGUGAAGACAUGCCCCCAUUUAAAAAGCAGGCUGUUGUCCUGUUACAAGGAAAGUAUUAGCACCAGAAGCAUCCUAAAGAGUUGUGCGUGGGGAAGAGAAGCAUUUAGAAAUACCAUGAGAAGAAAUCGGGACAUUUGGAUAUCAACUCAACAAGCAUUUUGAAUAGGGGCUUAUAAUGUUCUCUCCUAAGAACUUCAUGGUGGCUGAGCUCUUGAAGGUUGAACUAGUGGAGUGUAUGUAACCUCUGGCAGGUUCCACCAAAUGGGAAGGGUCUCAAGUUCAAGGUCAGAGGUGAACAGUUUGGCCUGCCAUCCAAGGACAAAUGCAACUCAGUUUGGAAAGGUUCAUCAACAAAUGUGAGUCCAUUAGGGGACGGACAAUGAAUCAUGGGGGUCAUCUACAGAAGCAUAGAAGUACCACCUAUGCCAAAGAAAUUGUAGAACCUUGGAAGUAUUGAAGUAUACAUGCGUCAGUGGGGAGAGACAAAAAUGAAAAAAAAUCAUCUUUACCUCUUCUAAUAGGAGAGAUGUGCCAUAUAAAGAGAAGCUGGGGGAGGAAGACAUGAGAUUUGGAGUUGAAGCUCAGUUUCCUCAUCUGUAAAAUGAAAGAUUGGACUCAAUUGCUUCCAAAGUCCCUUUCAGGUCAAAUUCUAUGGCCCUAAGCACAAAAUAAUACCCCAAAGCCAGAAUUUUAUAAUUUUAUAAGAGAGAAACAAAGACUUAUUCAAGGUCCAAAGAAGGAAAGCUCAGCACCGAUCUCUGGAUGAAAAGCUGACUGGACACAUUCCCAGGCAUAAAACAAGGUCGCAAAACAGCUGCAGUGGUUAAAAAAGGGAAGGAGGGUGAUGGUGUCUAGUGGAACCAUGGUGGGGAAAAAAUAAAAGAAACUCAGUUGUAGCAUUAAAAUCUGGAGCUAUGGAAGCUCCCUCCAGAGAAAUAAGCAUGGUAACAAGAAGUAGGCUGGAUAAAACUAAUCUGAAAUUUUCA
Antechinus flavipes (yellow-footed antechinus) is the source of this 1782-nucleotide long non-coding RNA. RefSeq lists it as uncharacterized. The transcript has 2 exons. NCBI's taxonomy places the organism in Eukaryota, Metazoa, Chordata, Mammalia, Dasyuromorphia, Dasyuridae. The record is from RefSeq and is a predicted model, not a curated record.